GACGAACGCUGGCGGCGUGCUUAACACAUGCAAGUCGAACGGAAAGGCCCUGCUUGCAGGGUACUCGAGUGGCGAACGGGUGAGUAACACGUGGGUGAUCUGCCCUGCACUUCGGGAUAAGCCUGGGAAACUGGGUCUAAUACCGGAUAGGAGCCAUUUUUAGUGUGAUGGUUGGAAAGUUUUUUCGGUGUAGGAUGAGCUCGCGGCCUAUCAGCUUGUUGGUGGGGUAAUGGCCUACCAAGGCGGCGACGGGUAGCCGGCCUGGGAGGGUGGACGGGCACAUUGGGACUGAGAUACGGCCCAGACUCCUACGGGAGGCAGCAGUGGGGAAUAUUGCACAAUGGGCGCAAGCCUGAUGCAGCGACGCCGCGUGGGGGAUGACGGCCUUCGGGUUGUAAACUCCUUUCGCUAGGGACGAAGCUUUUUGUGACGGUACCUAGAUAAGAAGCACCGGCUAACUACGUG
RNAcentral lists this ribosomal RNA (465 nucleotides) under uncultured bacterium. RNAcentral describes it as "partial 16S ribosomal RNA". It matches the Rfam family "Bacterial small subunit ribosomal RNA", at positions 28 to 507 of the family's 1533-position model. The record is from RNAcentral.